This 239-nucleotide long non-coding RNA is filed under the name Lathyrus oleraceus (garden pea). RNAcentral describes it as "Pisum sativum (pea) long non-coding RNA (PSAT_LNC035465)". Lineage: Eukaryota; Viridiplantae; Streptophyta; Magnoliopsida; Fabales; Fabaceae. The record is from RNAcentral.
CUGGGGGCUACCAAGCCAGGGAGAAAAUCCACUAUUAGCAGUAUUAAUUCAGGCCUUAAACCAACUGUUUAAUCCUAUCACUUAAUACCUACCCAAUGCAAUAACGUCUGGGGGCUACCAAGCCAGGGAGAAAAUCCACUAUUAGCAGUAUUAAUUCAGGCCUUAAACCAACUGUUUAAUCCUAUCACUUAAUACCUACCCAAUGCAAUUUCAAUCUAAAACUAAGACCAAAGUUCCUA